GAUAAACACUAAACAGUAAACAAAACAGAAACAGCUGCCGGAGGCCGUCGGGGGCUCGGGGCGCGUCUGCAGAAUCUUAACAAUACUGUUUCUUAAUUUUCGUCUCAAAAUUAUGCAUCCUUACGAGAAAAAUAAUUAUGAGCGUAGAAUUAUAGGACAUCACUUAGGUCAGAUUAGGCCAUAAUAGCUCCUUUGUAGUCACGAUUGUGUGUGUGUAUGUGUGUCAACUGGCUGUUGCCUGCAGUAGGCUGAGUAGAGGGAGGAGAGGAAGGUGGCUGUGGCACUGCCGAUAGAGGUAAUUUGUGUUUGGUGAGGACACAAAUGUUUGAAUGAGGCAGACUGACCACUCCACUGCACCAUGGAAACCAAAGCCAGUGAAGACAAAACAAUAGGAUCUAAGCAGCAGGUGAAGGAUCUGCUGACUCAUAUGGACCCCAUGAUAUACCUUGCAGGUACUGCUGACAAUACCUCUGAAAUGCUGAUGUACUUAGCAGACAUGGAUCCAUCCUUUCACAAGUUACACCUGGUCAAAAGCUUAAGGAUGGGGAUGCGAGAAAGUUUAACCAUUACUAUUGAAGAACAUGUAUCCCAUUAUCUUCAAGAACAAAAAGGAAAGAUGUAUGCUGAAAAUCCAGUUGAUUUCUUAGUAGAUAAAAUUCUUGGUGAUUCUAGAUAUGCAGACUUUGUCAGAGAUUCCAAGUUAAGCCUUGAGAACUCCAUUCAUAACAUUUCUGAAAAUUUUGAUGAUGAGAUUGUAACUGGAAUGUUUGGUAAUGAUGAUGAUGAUCCCACAUAUAGUGUUAGUCCGAAUGAGUCCAAUGAAUCCUCUCUAAAUUCCUCCCUCAAUCAGUCUGGGCUUAUGUUCCUGCACCCAGCUCAGUAUGACAAUAUAGCAGAAAGCCUGACGGGCAAGAGAGAAUAUGAGUCACGAAAUGAUUCAUUGAACAUCCUUAUUUCAGUAAGCCCUGGGGAACCAGUGAUGCAGGAUGGCUGGCCUGACAUUCGUAAGGGAUUAAGGGACUGUCUUUUUGAAGAAUGUGAUGAAAUAUUUGACAAGUCCUUGAAAGUUCAUUGCCGGCUGCUCACCUCCCAGGUGCACAAUGCUGUUAAGGAAGCAUAUUUGAACCUUCUAGAUGCUGUAGCAGGAUUUUAUUUUUCCAAGCAGCAUGUUGCUAAGAUUCCUGUCAGAGGAGAAAAGAUUCAUUUGAAGACCUCUGGAAAUUUUAUAAGAAUCCUUAAAAUAUUGAUUGAAUUUCAAAAUGAAUUACCUCUCAUUUGGAUUAGAUAUCCUGAGAGAUAUGUUGAUGACAUGGUAGAAGCCACAAUAAGACUCUUGGCACUGCAGCCUCCAUGUCGGGAUCUGCAGCUGAUGACAGUGCUGGACAUGUACAGUGUGGUGGAUCCUGAUGCCUCGUGGCUGAAAAGGUGGCUGCACGGGCAAUGGGGCAGGACUAAGACCUUUGCUGUCAUGAAGAGCAACUCAGUGGUGCUCCUGAACUCUGUGUCUCUCUCCAUCAAGUACUUGGAGAGCUGCAUUUUUAUCCCACAUUCAGAAGCAAGUGAAGAAUUUCUAAGUGCAGGCUUUGUUGCAUACUUGCAGUUUAUCCACAGUACCAAUCUUAUUUUGACUGUCUUGAGUUUUCUAGAUGGAAGGAAGCUUUUCCCAGUUAAUGUUCCUUAUAAGGAUGAACUGGUGACUGUUCAGGGGAUACUCCAGACACUGGUUAAAGCAAUAAAUAACAAUAUAUCUAAACUACUAACUUCAAAAAUUUGUGAUAUGCUGUGCAGGUUUUGCUGUAUGGAUGAAGCAAGAUGUUCAGUUGUUUGUGAUGCUGGUAUUGUAGAAACACUACUACAGGGAGUAAGUAGACUUGAAGAAGGGCAAGCAAAAGAAGAAGACUCAGAGUUGAAAGUUUUUUGCUCUUACAUCAGAGCCGUGUUGCUCCUACUUGAUGCUAUUACUUCAACACAUUUGGGUCAGAGGUACAUACUUUUGGGAAGGAAGAGAAAACCAAGCUCAAAGUCUGGAUUGUCUGGGAUUUCAAGUAAUCUGGCCAGUGAGGUGCUGGACCUGAUCCUGUUGUUGAUGAAAAGCAAGUGUGCUGGCUCUGAUCUAAAGCGACUCUGCAUAAGUAUCUGCAGCAGCCUUCUUGCCUCCCCAAUUGGUAUUCAUGUGUGCAUUGAUCAUCCUUUCAUGGAGGGUUUCCUUGGACAUCUUAAAGAAAGAAGUCGAGCAGGAUCACAUGCAAGGAUUUCACAAGGAGACGGUUGCAGAACCUGUGAGCCACUUGUCCUCAGUGUGCCUCAGUCACUCCCUCUGCUCACCACACUGCUGGUCUCCUUUAGGGGAGUGUUCCUGCUGGAGGGAGAAGGGGUGCUACCCCUUGCUUUGAGUCGGGUAAUGCCAGAGCGAGUGAGGAAGGGUGGCCUUACCUCAAGGAUUCUUGCACAUAUCUGUUCAUCCCAACAAGGUUGUUCUCUGCUGGGUAGCCUGAAUAUUGUUCGCCCACUGUGGGAUAUCUUGAGCCAGGUGGUGAGAGGGGAGGAGCAAGCUCAGGGCCGGCCACUCUUGCAAGAUGAGAGGGAGGAGGCCAUGGGGGAGGCAGUUGCCCCACUGCUGACACUCCUGGCCACAUUCCAAGGCACUCGUCUGGUCUUUAGCCGAGAGGGUCUGCAGGAGCCACUUUAUGAGGCACUCUUCUCUCCUGGUGAGCUUCAGUCUGAACUUCACACCAUCAUCCAGCAACUUCUGGUCUCUGCUACAGCUGUCCCAGAUGCUGUGGCAUUCCUCCAAGCUUCCAUGGGAUAUCAGGAACAACUUCUUGCACAACAAAAGCAAAUGAGGAUUGGAGAAGGCGAUGCUAUUUCUGUAGAUGAAAACUCCAUCCUUCGCAACCACAUUCUGGUGAAGUCAUAUUUACUUGGUGGCAGUGGUGAGAAGUUGCUGCCACCACACACCUUAGACAACAUCACUCCCUCCAACACACCUGUACUCUUCAGUCAGUAUCCUCCCCCAAGAGAUUACAUUCCUGAGAAGCCCAUCCGCUCCAUGCAUAAGAAGCAAAAUGAAGUGUGGCGCUUCCUAUCAGACACACGCCACGGCCUGCAUGAUGUGGGUUGGUUAAGUCACUGCCGCAAAGCUGUCUGCUCUGUCUUGAAAUCUGGAGAAGAAAUUAAGAGUUGGCUUGUCAUGGACCUCAUAGAUCGAACAGUUCGUGCUCUCCUUUCAUGCCCUGAGGAACUUCUGCCUGGGUUCCAAGUCCCUCAGCCUCCCUCCCCAGGAGCUGCCUUAGGUCUUGCCUCUCCUACUGUUCCCUCUAAGGGAUGGAGCUUUUCCUCAGGAUCAUCAUCAUCACCAGUUGGCAGUGAGAGUCUUCAGAGCCUCUACAGGAGCAAAAGUUCUGACUUGCAAGAACUUCCAGAGUAUCAUUGUCUUGCUUCUGAACUUGUCUUACGGUAUGGAAGUGAACUGCAGCUCCUUAUUGCCAGUGGAAGCAUCAGAGAGAACCUGAUGGAUGUGCUCAAGUACACACAAACCAGUGUUCUUCAUGGCCCAUGUGACAAGUGUGACUGGUUCACACAGGCACUCUUCCUUGUGUAUGGAGGCAGCUUUGAUAGGUGUGUUGCUGCCCUCACCAGCCUGGGAGGGUUGGUGGCUGGAGCUGUGCUGUGGCCAGCCCUUGCAGACUCCCUCUCACACACCUACAAGAUACUUCCUGGAGAGAUGGUCCUUGCUGGCAUCAUUCAUAAUGUUCAGCUCAUUGUCAGCAUAGAAAUUCCAACACUAUACAUGGCCUUAGAGGUAUGUCAUGGACUCCUGAUAGUGCCAUUACCGUGCCAAUAUUGUUAUUAUCAAUCUGUGCGAAUUUCUCUACAAAGAAAAAGUCCCUUGUAAUCCCAGUGGUUGGUAGGCCAGCCAGCCAUCAUAGUCUGAGCAUCUAUGUAGGGAACACUGUAUCUGAAGUGAAUAACUUGAGACAAGUGUGAUCAAUGGAUGGCGUGCUGGUGAACAACUGGGCUUCAUGGAAGCACUAUGCCGCCGCCACCGCCGCACUGUGCUGCCUGCUCUCGUUAAGCCCUUGAACCUGUAGCAGCACCACCACCCUUAGGCACCUCUAGUGCUAGUGUGGCAACACAUUACAUUAUGCCAAAGCACAAAGAAGACAGUCAUUAAGGUAAUAUGUGAUGAGGCUUAGUGAGCUCCCAGGAUGUUUGUGCACACUCUACAAAUGUUAGGCUCAGAUAGGCUUUUAGUUUCAUAUUCCCAAAUGUUUUGUUUCAUCAUUUGUCUUUUUAGAGGCCACAUAGAUGAUGAGUUAUGUUUUCAUAGUGUUUCCUCAUUGUUUUAGCAGAAUCCUUGUUAAAUUAUCAGUGAUAUUAUGAAAACACUCCUAGAAACCUCAAAAACAGCUUCUUAAAAGUAAGAGAUGAGAUUAUGAAAUAUCUGAGAAUACUGUCUUUAAUAUUCUGAGUCAUAAUGAAGAUUAUGAAAUUUUAUUGAUGAGACAUAUUUUCUCUACUGUAUAUGUGUAGGAAGUGCCUGUCCCUUAUUCCAUUCCACCCAAUCCAUCCACUUGUUCCUUAUUUUGAUUCUAUACAUUCCGUCCAGUCAUAGUGAUAGGUGUAGAAGGAAGGUGCUCCAGUAGCUGUACAUCUGUCUAUCUGUAUGCCAGGUGUAGACAAGGUGUAGAUACACUCACACACAUCAUUUACACUCCUAGCCACAUCGACCGUCAAGUGGAAAAGGAUAGUUUUGUGGCCCACUAUACUACACCCCACAUAAUACUACAUCCUGUUGUGAUAUAUGAUAAAAAAAAAAAAAAAAAAAGUUCUGAGUGUCAGGAUUGAGGAUAUCUAUAAAACUCUUGCUGGUGAUAAAGUGGAUAUUGAAUCACUCCAGUAAUUAUAAAGAAAAAUAGUUAUAUAUAUAUAUAUAUAUAUAUAUAUAUAUAUAUAUAUAUAUAUAUAUAUAUAUAUAUAUAUAUAUAUAUAUUUUCUCAUGACUAAUGAUUUACCUUACAAGUAGGUUUUACUAGUCACCAUUAAUAAGAUCUAGUCAUCAUAAUUCUAGUCACAUCACAGAAAUAAAGUCAUGUUUUGAUA
This 5103-nucleotide unclassified non-coding RNA is filed under the name Portunus trituberculatus (swimming crab). Its description in RNAcentral is "protein broad-minded-like, transcript variant X1". Lineage: Eukaryota; Metazoa; Arthropoda; Malacostraca; Decapoda; Portunidae. The record is from RNAcentral.